GUACAGGCCUUUCUAAAGGCCAUCCCAUUAUUCAGCAUUUCUGUAG
Molecule: non-coding RNA, 46 nt
Organism: Manacus vitellinus (golden-collared manakin)
Lineage: Eukaryota; Metazoa; Chordata; Aves; Passeriformes; Pipridae
Source: Rfam